GCCAGGGUGGCGGAAACCGGUAACGCGCCGGUCUUGAGUUUUUAGGACAUCAAGAGCUGAUUAGUGAUGCAAAACAGGCCAACCGGUGCCCGAAAGGGCUUUAGGGUUCAAAUCCCUACCCUGGCG
This 126-nucleotide transfer RNA is filed under the name Candidatus Mancarchaeum acidiphilum. RNAcentral describes it as "Candidatus Micrarchaeota archaeon Mia14 tRNA". It matches the Rfam family "tRNA". Rfam says of the family: Transfer RNA (tRNA) molecules are approximately 80 nucleotides in length. Their secondary structure includes four short double-helical elements and three loops (D, anti-codon, and T loops). The record is from Rfam by way of RNAcentral. Lineage: Archaea; Nanobdellati; Microcaldota.